Zootermopsis nevadensis is the source of this 4129-nucleotide non-coding RNA. NCBI's taxonomy places the organism in Eukaryota, Metazoa, Arthropoda, Insecta, Blattodea, Termopsidae. The record is from RefSeq and is a predicted model, not a curated record.
UAAGGAUGGUAUCGCCGCUUGCUGAGAUGAUCCGUAGAACUAUGUUCUUUGGUGCAGGCAUACGUAAUUGUGAGUUAAUUCUCUGUAUUCCUUUGCCGGCCGUCGAGUGUCUGUUGUUACAGGUGGUUGUGUGUUAAUUAGAUGGCUGUGAAACAUUACGGAAUUAGAGUGGAAGUAAUCACGUACCCACACUCACAAUUUGUAAAUUUUCAUGAUUGUCUGGACGACUCACAUUGGGCAAAAUUGUAUUUGAGAAACUUGUAACGUGCAUUACAAGUUGAGGAAACCACUAAGACGGAGAGGAUCUGGAUGGCCGUUGAAGAAAAGAUGGAGACACCAGCAGAACCUAGACAAAUGAACAGGCUCCUGCACCUCGACGGUCACACUCUCAGCGUGGUUUGGUACUCCUGUGCUGUUGGUGGUUGUUGCUUUAGUCGGCGAUACCGGGGACUUGUUGGAGGUCGCAGAUGCGUUACUGCUGGCGUGGCUUCCCCGUCGUGAACCUUGAUGAAACAGUUGAUUCAACACAACUGUCUAUAUGAAUGUUUAAUUGUUAAUUACAUUAUCUUUAUGUGUCAAUGUAUAACUCUGGCCAUUUCUUAACCUUUAAUGGUUCACCGUAUGUUAUAGGUAACUAAUUCGCUAUAUUUAUACAGCAUUGUUUUAUAUUUGCCUCAGGGGCUCACUACGGUGAGUACGGGGAGCGGCGUCCCCGAGCUACCCUGUGUCGAGGGUUAUAGUCAGGCCACCCAGUCUCCAGGGGACAUAAAUAUGGAGACCCGGUCCUCCAGGUUGGGGGUUGGGCGUGGGGCUAAUAACCCCAUAUCAUAAAAAAAGAAAGAGGUGAGCCAUUGAGUGAAAGGACUGCGCCCUGAUUUCUUCUCCAUGGAAAUGGAAGUGAUGAUGUGUCACUGGAUCAGUAAAGUCUCAAUUGUUCUGGCAGCUAUGUAGCGGAAUAGAAGUUCUACCCAUUACUACUUGUUCUAUUUGACAUCUAUUUAGAAGUAAUAAAAGUGCAGCACACCCCUGGAGUUGAUCUUAUAUAUUUAAAGUCAGGUUCCAAAUAUUUGAAAAAUAUAAGAAAUCCUUCAUAAUUUUUUUCUAGUAAUUAACAUAUGACACUAUUACAUGUUAACAAAUUGAGAUAUUUACAUGACGUGAACAUAGCGAAAAAAAUAAUGCUGAAACAUAACUACAGAUUUUAAAUUUGGCAUUUCUAUAAGAUAUGAAAUGCAUAUCACAAUUUUGGGAAUUCUGGUUUUAAAGUCCUGUUCCAAUGACAGGCUGAAACUUUAUGCGGUAUUCUUUAAUCCUGUCGAAGAUGUCAUUCACAUCUCUACUAUUCAGUAUUACAAAAAACAAUGUUAAAAGAGUGUUGGUAAUUAACCAAAAGAUCGGCCGGUUACAAGUUUCUUCAUCAUGUUUACAUAAACUGUUUAUAGCACAGCUUGUUAUAAAUAUGUAAAAAAAAAUUCAUAAUUAAAAUUAUUAGUAUUAAGAACUUGCAGUUACUAAUAUAUUAAACAAAUAAUACAUGAGUGUGACAAAAUUUAAGCAAUGAAUAUAAAUAUAUCUUUUGUGUACUGAAAGUUGUUGGGUUCUCGUAUUAUGAGACACCGGAUGGUUGAAAGUUGUAAACACUGCUCGUUGUGUCUUCUUUCAGUUGGCGGUAUUCUCUGAAUAUUAUGUGGCUAUACAUAUUGCAGGUAUUUUUAGAAAUAAAAUCUAGGUUAAGUUUAAAAAUUAUUAGAACCUAACAGAAACUUGUUGUCUUAGGCAGUUGUUUAGUAAUUUUUCUGCAUUUCCAAGUAAGUAGCAUUGGCAUGGUAUUUGUACGCCGUUGUCACAGUAAGUAGUAAAUUUUAGCCAUAAUUUACGCUUAUAAGUAUAUUUCUUACCCAAUGACUGAGGUGACUGUGGUCUCAGUGAUGCCAUGCUGGCAUGGCGGCUUGGACCUCGGACGCUCGCGCGGCUUCCUCGGCGGUCAGUACCGUGCAGCAGUUUGCUCUCUCUCAAAAGCGACGCGUUCAUCAAUCGAGGGUUUGGUGUAUUGAAAAUUGUUCGAUUCUCUCUCCAUCGGGCUCUGAUUUAACAAAUAAUGUCAAAUUAUCAGUGGUAAUUACACGUAGCGGUUUUAAUAAUGUACUUGUUUCAGUUGGCAUUGAUUUUAGCUGAGGAAAAGCUGUUUGAAGUAAUGAGCGAAAGAGAGGAAGGAGAAAUCACGGAGGACACACAGAAAAACAGGCAUUUAUAUGUAUGAUAAACGUACUUAUUAAUAGAGAUUGCUGUCAUUUCUUUUUUAGAAGAACAUAAUGAACUUAUCACAGAACCAACAAACAAACAGUAUGGUUCAGGUUGCUGGAAGAGUUGAUUGUUCUGUCUGAAAUCUUUUGUGACCUGAAGAUUCAUCGCUGUGUUAUAAGAUUCUCACCAUUGAGCCAUAUCCUGUCUAUGUUAAAUCCAGUCCACAUCUUCAUAGACUGUUUAUCCAAGAAACAUUUUAAACUCUUAAAGUCCCAUGGUAUUAAAAGUACCACUUAACAAUCUGUAAUCCCACAUUUUGACCACAGAUUAUGUGAUGUACCUUUGUAAUAAAAACAGGUUUCCUUUGAGGUAGGGAUUGAUAUUUAAAUAUUUAGCUUCAGCUUCAAAAGAUUAUUACUAUCAUUACAUCCAAUCCUCUGUCUUUGAGGUAAUUUCUUUCUCAUGUGCAACAAUUUUUAAAAAUUUAAUACGAGGUUUUUCUGUUUUAUUUAUUCAGGUUUUUCUGAAUGAUUUUCCUUUAUUUAGGGGGCCAAACUGAAUAUGAAAGGUUUGUUGUAAUUAAACUUGGAAUCCUAUGUUAAACUUCUGUUUUUAGUUGGACAAAUCCAUAAUGGUAGGAGGUGUUGCUUGGUACGCAGACAUUUUACAUUUAUUCAUGCAUUUACAGUAAGCGUGAUUUUAAUGAAAGCUGUGUGAUGCUCUGAACAUUGUCAUAACAGUGGGUCAUAUUUGCAUACGUGCACAAAGAAUGCUACAGUGCCAGCAAACAGAUUUUAUUAUUAGCAGUUUAGAUUUGUUAUUAUAAAGAUAUAUACAAUCACAUGCUCCACUCUUGCAGAGAUAUUGUUGAUGUGGGGACAGAUAUAAAUGAAUCAAGCGAUAUAAGAAUUCUCAAUCUUAACAUUCAAGUGUGAGAGCAUUACGCAGAGACAUGAAUGCAAAUAGCCAUAUUUAGAAGUAUGAAUUUGCAAGUUUUCUGAUAAUAUCAACAUGAUAGAUCAGAAUGUGAGAACAUUUAAAUCUUGUGUAAAAUCAGGUGAGAAAUUUUGGCGAAGACAAGCGUGUAUAUGCAUGAAAAGCACAAAACCAUAAAUAAAUAAGGCAGUUAUGUGGGACAUAACCUCAAAAAUUAUGUUGGUGGUGAUAUAAUUAUUUAUUUCAUUUAUGAACGUGCUUGACAAACUCAAUACAGGCAAGUAAGUGGUAGGAUGAGAACAAGAUGAUAAUCAAAGGCAGUAAGAACUACAGAUAAAAGGGACCAAGUGUACAAAAUGAAAGGUUGUAUGUUAAUUAAUGAGUUAUUUGAAAGAGUGAAAAAUGUCAGUAAAUGAAGAUUUUAGUGCUUGUGGAGAUGAUAUUUUCAACAGAAGCAGAAAAAUAUCUAACUAUCCUUGUUUGUUUGUGUAUUAACAGAUUCGAUAGUGAAAGAAUAACAAAUUUUAUUUUUGGAAACAUUGAUGAGGAAGGUGGGAGCAUUGAGAUUCCACCACCUGGAAUAAAGUAUUGAAGCAUUCAAUCUAGAUAAUUUGCCUUCAUAAUUAUUGCCACAUAAGCAGAUGUGUUGUGGCAAUCCGUCAAUGUAAUUGACUUCCGAAUUACAUACUCAUGUCUGAGUUGCACAUGUGCGCUGUACAAACUGAAACCUAUUAACUAUGGAAGAAUUAACGAUGUGAUAUAUCACACAAAACUAUUUUUUAAACCUCGAGAAAUUAUAAAAUGAAGAGAGCUUGCAGUACCAACUUAGAGAUAUUUGUCACGUAGGAUACUUGAUUAAAAUGUCACAUAAUUUGUUAAUACUGAUUGUUUUACAAGUAAAGAAUGUAAUUGUGGUUUUGAAAAAUAAACAUUCAUAUUGUUAUACAAA